This 838-nucleotide ribosomal RNA is filed under the name uncultured bacterium. Its description in RNAcentral is "bacterial SSU rRNA". It matches the Rfam family "Bacterial small subunit ribosomal RNA", at positions 606 to 1433 of the family's 1533-position model. The record is from RNAcentral.
GGCUCAACCGGGGGAGGUCUGCCGAUACCGCUCAACUUGAGGACCGGAGAGGGGAGUGGAAUUCCCGGUGGAGCGGUGAAAUGCGUAGAGAUCGGGAGGAACACCCGUGGCGAAGGCGGCUCCCUGGACGGUCCCUGACGCUGAGGCGCGAAAGCCAGGGGAGCGAACGGGAUUAGAUACCCCGGUAGUCCUGGCUGUAAACGAUGGUCACUAGGUGUUGGGGGUAUCAACUCCCCCAGUGCCGCAGCUAACGCAAUAAGUGACCCGCCUGGGGAGUACGGCCGCAAGGCUGAAACUCAAAGGAAUUGACGGGGGCCCGCACAAGCGGUGGAGCAUGUGGUUUAAUUCGACGCAACGCGAAGAACCUUACCAGGGCUUGACAUCCCUCGAAUCCGCUGGAAACAGGGGAGUGCCCUUUUGGGGAGCGAGGAGACAGGUGGUGCAUGGCUGUCGUCAGCUCGUGUCGUGAGAUGUAGGGUUAAGUUCCGCAACGAGCGCAACCCUCAUCGCAUGUUGCCCCCGGUCCUUUUUGGGGUCGGGGCACUCAUGCGAAACUGCCCCGGCAACGGGGAGGAAGGUGGGGAUGACGUCAAGUCAGCAUGCCCCUUACGCCCUGGGCGACACACAUGCUACAAUGGGCGGUACAAAGGGGGGCAAGACCGCGAGGUGGAGCAAAUCCCUAAAAGCCGUCCUCAGUUCGGAUCGAAGUCUGCAACUCGACUUCGUGAAGCUGGAAUCGCUAGUAACCGCCGGUCAGCCACACGGCGGUGAUACGUUCCCGGGCCUUGUACACACCGCCCGUCAAGCGAUGAGAGUCGGUGGCACCCGAAGUCCUUGG